RNA transcript from Nymphaea colorata (pocket water lily), 4209 nucleotides. It is a transcript of the gene named protein LIGHT-DEPENDENT SHORT HYPOCOTYLS 6-like, with no coding region annotated. The record is from RefSeq and is a predicted model, not a curated record. NCBI's taxonomy places the organism in Eukaryota, Viridiplantae, Streptophyta, Magnoliopsida, Nymphaeales, Nymphaeaceae. The transcript is spliced from 3 exons.
ACGAUCUGCUGUUCUUUUCUCUACCCUUUUCCUCUUCUCUUUCUUUCUUUCUUUCUUUCUUUCUUUCUGUCUGUCUACAGCAAAAACCUCGACAAGCCCUAUCAGAAUAACAUUAAGGAAGACAGCAGGAAAGGAGCACGAGCGAGCGGAGCGGCAUCUGCCACUGCCAGGGUUGGUGCACCGGCGCAGCACCACCGCCCUCAUGGAUUCCGGUGCCGGAGGGUCGGAAGGUGGAGACGGGGAGCCGUCGUCUGGGGGACAGACGGCUCCGCCAAGCCGCUACGAGUCGCAGAAGCGGAGGGAUUGGAACACGUUCCUGCAGUACCUGAAGAACCACAAGCCGCCGCUGUCGCUGGCGAGGUGCAGCGGCGCCCACGUGAUCGAGUUCCUCAAGUACCUGGACCAGUUCGGGAAGACGAAGGUCCACAUGAGCGGCUGCGCCUUCUUCGGCCACCCAAACCCGCCCGCGCCCUGCGCCUGCCCUCUACGGCAGGCAUGGGGCAGCCUCGACGCCCUCAUCGGCCGGCUCCGGGCAGCCUACGAGGAGAACGGCGGGAGGCCCGAGUCCAACCCCUUUGGCGCCCGAGCAGUACGGAUUUACCUCCGCGAGGUCCGGGAGAGCCAGGCCAAGGCCCGCGGAAUCCCCUACGAGAAGAAAAAGAGGAAGCGGCCGACAGCCACUACCAGCACCACAGCCACCACCACCUUGGCGUCGGCUUCCACCUCCUCGCAGCAAGGGGAUGGCGGAGGUGGUGGCGCUGGGCCCUCCUCCGGCUCCUGAAUUGCGUGCACGCGCUUGCGUGUGUCUGGUGUUCAUGGUGCACCAUCAAGCGAGGGAAGUGAAGUGCGUUCUCCGUGUUUGCACGGCGGCUUAGAGCUCCGGAAAAUUUUCAGCAUUUUUAAAACUUCAGGUAGAUUUGUGCAGGCUAAUGCCAAAUCAUAGAUGAGGGCUGAUUUGGCAUCACCGUUCAUCACCUGCUGCUGAUGACGUUAUGAACGCCUGCAUGGUGGUCUGCGCAGCUUGAGCAAUGAACAGUGAGACAGUGCUGACCAGCCUUCUGCCAAUGAUCAUCAGACACUUCUAUAAUCACAGUUGAGGUGAACACCAACGUCAAUCUUUUGUUUGCCCGAUACAUGGUCUGUUUCCUCUUGACAUGCAGUUUGAUCUCUCAUUAGCGAGUCAAGUUUCUCUUGUCAUUCUUGCUUCAUGUCUCGAUCUUCAGCCGUAUCUUCGUUUCUCCAUUAACAAGAUUGUGGUUCCGCGAGUCACGGACGAUCCAUGGUCCGUGUCUGUUUGCUUCUUUGUCUGCCUUCUCUCGUGUUGCAGUACCUCUCUCUCUCUAGAGUAUGAGCGUGGGACAAGUUACUCGUCAAAGGAAAAUCUGUUAGUGCCACAUAGAUUCUGGUUGUCCUUUUGAUGUCAGCGGAGGGAAACCUACAGCUCCCGACAGAGCUGGUCGAUAGAGAGGAGUGCUGAUAAAACGUGAAGAUUAAGCCAAUUAGCUGUUGCACUGUUGCAUCUUGACGAAUGGUCGAUUCCUCAUUCCCACCCCCUUUCAUUGUAACACGUUGCUUUCACUUCAGAUUUUGUCUCCAACUUUGUUAGGCAACUCAAGGGGGAGACGACCUUUUAUCUCGAGUCUUCUUUGCAUUUGCAUUGCUUGAGGUACUUGUAUGGGUAGACUUAUCCUGUUCUUUCACAUGCACACAUGCACAUGUUUCUGCUGAGUUUUCAUGUGCACACACACAUGUAUACAUGACACAAUAUUUGAAAUUACUUUUUUAAAAAAAAAAAAAAUCUACACAGACCGUUUAUGAACUUCCAAUCAAAUUAAUCAUAUUCAUAGUAGUCAUGAUCUAUGCACAGUCGAUCAUGUUACUUAAUUCACAUAUUUCAGGAAUAUAUAUAUACCCUAAAUGCUUUUUUAUGUCAUAAACUAAAGGGAAAGAGAAAGACCAUGUCACAAAGGAAUAUAAUAUUAUAUGAUAAACUAACAGCCUGUUUAGAGGGACAGGAAAGGAAAAGAAGGGAAGGGAAAGAGUAGUCAAUACUGUGUUUGGUUAGUUAAUUAAGGAGGGAAGGAAAGGAAAAUAGAAAACCAUGUCUGGUUGUAAAGAAAAUGAAAAGAAAUGGAUGGAAAGGAAAUUAUGACUCAAUGUAAAUCCAAUCCCUCCAAAAUUGGAGGGAUUGGGAUGAAAAAAAAAAAAAAAAGGUUGUUCCUUUUAUUUCCUUUAAAAUAUGCACAUUGUCACACUUCUUUAUGACAAGGUCUUUCAUAUCUAACCAUUUUCUUUCUCCCUUCUUGAUAUAUAUAUAGUACUUGUACAAGGACCAGCUUAUAAUUACAAUAAACGGAAUCCCCUUUGUAACUAAAAAUUUUGCCCAAAGGAAGCAUUGUUAUUGUUACAAUUUCCUUGGGAUUUGCAGAUGAGGAGUACUCCAUUAUCGCUCAGUAUGGGAUGACAAUAGAGGUUACUUCCUUUCCGGACAAGAUGCAUCUUAGUCUAAGGAAAUGUCACAGUCUUCAAGUGUAAAUAUUAGCCUGGGUAAAGAAAGUGGCGACAUUAAGAUGCUUCAAGAUGUCUAAUUCAUGCACCAACUUUCGGCGUGGUGACCAAAAUAAUAACUUAGAUUAAUUUGAAAAACUUAGUGAAACAUUAAACGCUUUUUUAUUCUCUUGUUUGAAAAAAUAAGUAUGUGUUUAAUAUAGUUGGAUUGUAACUAAAAUUAAUAAAAGUGAGCCAACUUCAACCUGAAUCAUCUUAAAAGAAGCACAGCAAUGUGUAGAAAUAGUGAUAUGUCCAUGAAGGUAGUUUAUGAAGUUCAAUAUAUUUUUCUUUUCUUCUUUUGCUCUUUACCCUGAAAUGCACUUUGAUUACAAGAAAACACAAGGCUUUAUCCUUGAAAGGCAAUUCGUGGCUCUAACACAGUAUACUUUAUUCCAGUUAUGCGAACUACCAUAUCACAGUCUAAGAAAAAAUAACAGUGAGCUACUGAUAGAAUUAUGUUGCAGCUCAUCUGAAGACAACUUUUGCUGCUUGGCUUAAAACCUCAUUUUGUUUUACUCCAUUAAGUAUAUACAAAAAAAUAUGUGUGCGUGUGUGUCAGGCCAUCAAUCAGGUCUCCUUUUAUCGUGCUUUAUAACCCUGAAGCAAUGUGUGUAUGUGUUUUUUUUCACAAAUCCAACGGUCCAAUUGUAUGCAAAAAUGUUCAUGCUUUUAAAGUUUGAAGAACAACAUAUGGAAAUCAUGUGUGUAAAAACAGGUUUGAUCAGAUUCUCAGAAUUAGUAGCGUUGUUUCUUCAUGCAUGAUAUGUCCAUUUAUACGGUUAGUAUUAUGAAGAAAGCUAAAAUACUAAGAGACGGGCCUAGCAAGGAGUCAUUUAUAUUUGGAAUCCAGUUGGGGCUUCCUCUUCUUUUUACGAAUUAUAAAUAUUCAUCCACUGGGAUCUCCCUUGAGCGAGCCUGACAUCAAGCAGAAAUGCUGGUUGACUACUUGGCCUAAGUUAGGACUAACAGUUGGGCAGUGAAUCAUCUCGUUGAAUCUUCCUCUUGAUUUCACUUAUCAUGCACCCGGUUUGUGAUAUUCCGUAUGGUUGAAGCUGUGUGUUUUUCUCUUUACCAUGCAUGGUGCAUAAUAAGCAGAAUAUAACUGGGCAAGUGCAAUCCCUUAUUAAACUGAAGCUAGAAUUCGUCUUUGACGCCUCUUCCAAGCUUAAUUAUAUGUAGUUAUUUGGGACUUCUAUGCUUUAUUCAUGUCAUAUGUUGGUUACGGGAAGUCAUACAUGCUGCCUUUUCUUUCAAAUGUUCAUGAAGAAAGAAGGAAUAUGUGCUGCUUUUUUUAUGUUAAAUGGCAAAAAUAAUAGAAGCCUGCCUUUUAGACUCGUUUCCUGUUAACAUUGACGACUUGGAAAAAGAAAAUCCGCCAGAGCUCUCAUCCUUGCCUGUCGUUCGGAAACGGGACAGCAUGACGAAGCUCCAUAUUCUCUAGCCUUCCUUUUCACACUCUUUUCAAAUGGAAAAUUCUAUUCCCCUUGCACGUUGAAAUGAUCAUUCUUGUUCGAGUUUUUCUUAUUUGUUUCUGAUGAUGGUAAUAUGUUCCUUCUUUUGCUUUUUGUAUUCUGGUUCUCAAAUUCUACAAGAGAUUGAUCCGAACUUUCUGUCUUACCAUGCUAUGGCGAGUAAUAAUCGAGUCCAUAGCAGCUAGUU